RNAcentral lists this transfer RNA (72 nucleotides) under Phrynosoma platyrhinos (Desert horned lizard). RNAcentral's name for it is "tRNA-OTHER". Lineage: Eukaryota; Metazoa; Chordata; Lepidosauria; Squamata; Phrynosomatidae. The record is from RNAcentral.
GCCAGUGUGGCACAGUGGUGUGAGUGUUGGAUUAUGACUCUGGAGACCAGGGUUUGAUUCCCAACUUGGCCA